CCUAGGGGUGGCAGCAGUGGGGAAUAUUGGACAAUGGGCGAAAGCCUGAUCCAGCCAUGCCGCGUGUGUGAAGAAGGCCUUCGGGUUGUAAAGCACUUUCAGUGGGGAAGAAAGCCUUGGGGCUAAUACCCUCGAGGAAGGACAUCACCCACAGAAGAAGCACCGGCUAACUCCGUGCCAGCAGCCGCGGUAAUACGGAGGGUGCGAGCGUUAAUCGGAAUUACUGGGCGUAAAGCGCGCGUAGGCGGUCUGAUAAGCCGGUUGUGAAAGCCCCGGGCUCAACCUGGGAACGGCAUCCGGAACUGUCAGGCUAGAGUGCAGGAGAGGAAGGUAGAAUUCCCGGUGUAGCGGUGAAAUGCGUAGAGAUCGGGAGGAAUACCAGUGGCGAAGGCGGCCUUCUGGACUGACACUGACGCUGAGGUGCGAAAGCGUGGGUAGCAAACAGGAUUAGAUACCCUGUAGUC
Molecule: ribosomal RNA, 464 nt
Filed under: Vreelandella stevensii
Lineage: Bacteria; Pseudomonadati; Pseudomonadota; Gammaproteobacteria; Oceanospirillales; Halomonadaceae
Description: partial 16S ribosomal RNA
Rfam family: Bacterial small subunit ribosomal RNA
Source: RNAcentral